CUUACAGUGUAUGUUUUGCUAGCAGAAACUAGAGUGAAAAGAAUCCGUUGUUAAUCCAGCGAUCUGAACGAAUCUUCAAAAUCUGUGAUUGAUCGUAAUCCAUUGCUUUCAUUCUCUCCCACAGCAGUCAUUUUCCGUUGACGAAGGGCCGGAAUGGAAGUUUCGGCAAGUUCCCGGACAGCAGAAGACGAACAUUUAUUCUCCAAUGUUCGCAAGGAC
This is a long non-coding RNA of Aedes aegypti (yellow fever mosquito), 219 nucleotides long. RefSeq lists it as uncharacterized. NCBI's taxonomy places the organism in Eukaryota, Metazoa, Arthropoda, Insecta, Diptera, Culicidae. The transcript is spliced from 2 exons. The record is from RefSeq and is a predicted model, not a curated record.